GCCAGGUGCAGUGGCGCCCACCUGUAAUCCCAGCUGCUCAAGAGGCUGAGGCAGGAGGAUCAGGAGUUCAAAGCCAGCCUCAACAAUUUACCAAGGCCCUAAGCAACUCAGUGAGACCUUGUCUCAA
RNAcentral lists this small RNA (127 nucleotides) under Marmota monax (woodchuck). Lineage: Eukaryota; Metazoa; Chordata; Mammalia; Rodentia; Sciuridae. The record is from RNAcentral.